GGAGAGUUGGCAGAGUGGUCGAAUGCGGUAGUCUUGAAAACUAUUGUGCCGUAAGGUACCGGGGGUUCGAAUCCCUCACUCUCCGCCA
Molecule: transfer RNA, 88 nt
Filed under: bacterium
Lineage: Bacteria
Description: tRNA-Ser
Rfam family: tRNA
About the family: Transfer RNA (tRNA) molecules are approximately 80 nucleotides in length.
Source: RNAcentral